This is a long non-coding RNA of Petromyzon marinus (sea lamprey), 850 nucleotides long. RefSeq lists it as uncharacterized. The record is from RefSeq and is a predicted model, not a curated record. NCBI's taxonomy places the organism in Eukaryota, Metazoa, Chordata, Hyperoartia, Petromyzontiformes, Petromyzontidae.
UUUUUUUUUCUCCCCACGGAUAAGAGUAGCCGUGCGGCAAAUGAAUCCUAUUAAUCGCAGGGGUUAUCUCGUGGAUAAGGUGGAGUAAAAUCAUGCAUAUCCUUCCAGAUACUGCCCGCACACCCAUGUGUAAUCGCGGGCAAGAGGCGUUCCCCUACAUACCACAAUCGCAGGAGACUUCAGUGCAAAGGAUAGGUGCGUGACGUCAUUUAUGGACGGCCCCUUUGGGAUUGCACCCUCCAAUGAAGACCACUUUAUAGUUCGUCCUACACCAUCAUUUGAGGAUCACUGGUUUAAUGCGAGCAAACUCUAGACGUCUUUUUGUCGUUGUAAUGGAAUUCAUCUUCAAAUAAAUAUCACUGAUUAAUUUUGUCUAAUUCUAUUUGCAAUAAUGCGUCUCCUUAAUCAUUUGUGUAAACAUGUUUGCACUGGGCACCGCGAGCCUCACUCGUCUAGUAUUGCUCCCACUAUCUAACAGUGUUGAGAUUCUCUGUUCAAGAACCCCUGUGACAGACCGGAUCGAGCCCUCGCCAUGUCUGUGACCCGCUGCCGUUGACCUCUUGCCGGCACUCCGGUCACGACCAGUGCCACCCUCGCUGCAUCCCGGUGCCCCGGUGGCCAGAUGUUUACAACCUCUCUAGAUGCCGACAUUCAUGACGGGGCUGUUGGACAAAAUCCAUUCGGAGUUCACCUUACACUGGAGCGUCAGCAAGAGCACGCGAGACAGCGAGAGCAAACGAUAACAAUAAGAAUGUGACUCUAGCAUUACCAUUUACGACAUCAUCACUACCACCAGCAGCCACCACAAUCAUCACCGGCAUCAUCAGCAUCACUCGAAUUACCAAUAACG